Molecule: ribosomal RNA, 468 nt
Filed under: uncultured bacterium
Lineage: Bacteria
Description: partial 16S ribosomal RNA
Rfam family: Bacterial small subunit ribosomal RNA
Source: RNAcentral
GACGAACGCUGGCGGCGUGCUUAACACAUGCAAGUCGAACGGAAAGGCCCUGCUUUUGUGGGGUGCUCGAGUGGCGAACGGGUGAGUAACACGUGAGUAACCUGCCCUUGACUUUGGGAUAACUUCAGGAAACUGGGGCUAAUACCGGAUAGGAGCUCCUGCUGCAUGGUGGGGGUUGGAAAGUUUCGGCGGUUGGGGAUGGACUCGCGGCUUAUCAGCUUGUUGGUGGGGUAGUGGCUUACCAAGGCUUUGACGGGUAGCCGGCCUGAGAGGGUGACCGGCCACAUUGGGACUGAGAUACGGCACAGACUCCUACGGGAGGCAGCAGUGGGGAAUAUUGCACAAUGGGCGGAAGCCUGAUGCAGCAACGCCGCGUGCGGGAUGACGGCCUUCUGGUUGUAAACCGCUUUCGCCUGUGACGAAGCGUGAGUGACGGUAAUGGGUAAAGAAGCACCGGCUAACUACGUG